CUUGUUUUUCCUUUUUCCUUUUGUUUCUUUGAAAUAUGUAAUGAUUUAGCCACUACAAUAUUCUGAGAUCUUUCAGAUUUUGUUAUUAAUUACAUUAUCUUAAUUUGAAAGGUUUAAAUUGUUUUAUUUAAAUACUUGUUUUUAGGGGCUGACAGUUCAAAGACUUCCUUGAAGUACAUGUCUCUUUGUCAACUUUUCAAAGGUGAAACAUUGGUAAAAAUCUAUUUCUUGUCUUGAACCAGCAUAUUGAGUUUUUCUGGGUAGAUAGUUUUGGGCUCAUUUGUCUAUCCUACUUAAUUUUUUGACAUAGGGACAUGAGUUUUUGCCUUUGUGGAAAAGUUACAUCUAUUAAUUUUGCUUUUUCUGUGCUGAAAUUUCUAGUGAUUUCUUAGUGAUUCAUUGAGACUUAGGACAAUUUGCAUGAUCAGGAUCCAUGAUAUGGGAUUAUGGGUAGAAAUGACAAGAUAAUUUAUUUUUUAUGCCUUCGAAAUUCUUUGUUGGAAGUACCAAUCAAGUGGGAUACCAUCUUGCUUAAGUAUGGAGGAGAAGAGAUGAAGACACCCAGGCUAUCCUAACUUGGCCAGAAAUUUGAAGGCAAAUGAGUGUCAGAACAGAUCAGGUUAUAUAUAACCUGUGAGCUUCAAAAUUUGGAAGAGCCUCCCGAGAUGCAGCAACUCCUGAAGUCCAAAGCAGUGAAGCUGGUCUGGGAGGCAGCCUUUACCCUCACCAAUUUAAGACUCAAGGGGCUUCCAAGGACCAUAGCCUCUUGAUGAUAACUCUGAAAUCCCUUUCACGAUUGAGUCCUCAGCAACAGCAUACUUUCAACUCAACAGUUUCAAGUCUGAUAAAUCCUUUUAAAUGCAGGUAUGAUAAUAUUAGGAAGGAUCAAAAUUCUUAUUAAUAUUAUUUAAAUGAAAUUACAAGUAUAUACAUUCCAGCUAAACUGGACUAUUUUCUACCCCAGGAGGGAGGUCCUAAUGCACCAAAGCAAGUCAAAUUCAGCAUAGGUUCAAGGUCUAAAAGAAAUCAGAUGGUAGACAAAUGUCCUCAUUCUUCUUCAGGCAACCUAUAUUCCUGACUGAUUCAUUGACUCAGUUAAAUGUGUAGAAAUCUAAGAGAUAGAGGCUCGGGCUUUGGACUUGUCAUCAAAAUUGGUUACUGGGAUUUGUUCCUCAAGCUCUAAGAUAUCAUUGCUUUACAAAGAAACGGAUAGAAUUUUUCCUUUCUUAUUUCAUUUUCUCAAUUAGAUACAAAAUGUUUUAAUAUUAGCUUUUUUAAAACUUAGGGUUCCAAAUUCUCUCUCUCCCUUUCUCCUCUUAGAACCCUUGAGAAAGUGUCUAUAGAUCUCUGAGUUUUUAAAUUCAAAUUUUCUUUUUUUAUUACAAACCUAAUAACAAAUAAGCACUAAACAUUUCAAUGUGCAAAGAAACAAAAAAGGGAUUAGAUAUUAAAUAGUGAACUUUUGUGGAGUUAAAAAAAGAAUAUUGAAUUUAACAAGCUAGUGACAAAAUUGUCAUUUGUUUGUGUGUCCUGAAUUUCUUUUUUGUUUGUUUUUCUCCUUUGUACUCUGAAUAUUUUAUCAAUAUUUUUCCUUUCUUUGCUUUUUUUUUUAAAUAUCCGCACUACCCAUUAACUCUCCCACUGACAGAAGUCCUCUUUUGUAUCAAAUAAGUAGGGUCAAGCAAAACAUUUCAAUUCAUUGGCCUUGUGGGAAAAUGUAUGUCUCACCCUGCCCCUGCAGUC
Molecule: long non-coding RNA, 1743 nt
Organism: Monodelphis domestica (gray short-tailed opossum)
Lineage: Eukaryota; Metazoa; Chordata; Mammalia; Didelphimorphia; Didelphidae
Source: Ensembl